Long non-coding RNA from Ictalurus punctatus (channel catfish), 2966 nucleotides. The record is from Ensembl. Lineage: Eukaryota; Metazoa; Chordata; Actinopteri; Siluriformes; Ictaluridae.
CCCAUGGUCCCCUCUUCACCCCCCUCCUCCUCCUCCUCCUCCUCUUGUUAUACCGGCAUGUCAGAGCCUGUGGGAUGGGGUUCCUCUUGCAUUUACUUUCAGUCUGGAUGCUGCUGCCGCUGCUGCUCCGAUCCACUUGGAUGUCCCUCUUCAUGAAGGAGGGUCCUAUCUUUCCCACUUGAUCGCGCACUUAUUUUUUGGCGAUCCGAAAGCAACUUUAAAGAGUUCAUCCGCAUUUUUAAUCUAAACAACGGAGAGCCGAGAAGAGUUGGCCGUUGUCUUGACCGGUGCAAAGCAUGAAGUUCCUGGAGGCUGCGCGCGUCUCGGUGCUGCUGUUGGUGCUGCUGGUGGGGGAUCACCGCGGAGUGCAGGGGAAAGCGGCUCGGCUGGAGCGCUGGGUGAAAGCUGGACUGCAGUACCUGAAGGUGCACCUGUGCCGCAGGGUGGCUUUACCGGAGAGCGAGUGUCGCAGGCUCGCUCAUCUCCAUCCCAGCGGAAUAGCGGUGUAUACUUCAGAGUCUGGUUCUGGUAAAGUGCUCGCCAUCCUGCCCGACUCGCACCCCGCAUUAAAAGCGAGUCACAGUGCGGGUGCGCUUGCUGCUGAGCGCGGGCUGGAGCGGGAGCGCUUCACCGACGUGAGCGCGCAUGACGCCGUGCUCGUGCUGGACCCGAGUCCCGGAGAGAGCUUCGGCCACCCCGUCCUGCUCUUCUACCUGGACUUUAACAUGGCCAAGAAAAAGUGUGCUCAUAUGGAGGGGAUUUAUUUGGGAGAGGAGUGUAUGACUCUGGCCCUGAAGACUCGCUGUCAGAACCAGCUGAAGCGGAGAAGGAGCCGCAGCGACCGUACGAUGGACCGCACACAGAUUCGGAAGAGUGUGGUGUCCAGAACAAGCCAUACAGAGCGUAGUAAUGGCCUCUGCGAGAUCCACUUCCUGCCCCGAGUGGUGGGAGUGAGGGACAGCAACCGAACGCAGCGCCUCCGCUGUGUAGGUGGUUGGCAGGAACAGAUCACAUACCAGCAUCAUGAGCAGAAUCUGCUGCUCUUCUACCAGAUGCUAAGAAACAAUGGUUUUCAUAAGGAUCACAUUAAAACAUUCUUUGCUGGAAAUGGACAGGUAGCAGCUAAAGAGACAGAAGGAAUGUAUCCAGCCACAGAAAAGGAGGUAAUCAGGAACCAUAUCUCCUACAUCUGUCGCAAGCAGCACUGUGCAGACACAUUCGUGUUGUACCUGAACAGCCCGACCCGCAACGACGGAACCAUGCUGCUGUGGGACCGCAACAACAACGGCAUUGCAGAUCUAAAGGAGCGCUAUGCAGUAGGUGAGCUGCUGGCUGACCUUGCAGGCUGCAGGGCAAGUCGAGUUCUGCUUUUUGUUGAGCAGAGCUACACCGGAGUUCUCACUAAGAGACUAAAGGGCUCUCUUAAACACCUCAAUGUGGUGCUGCUCAACGGCCUGCCCUGGGUGAACACGGCCCAAUUCUGGGCCUCUCUGCACCCUUCCCACUGCCUCAUCGACCACCUCAGUAAGAAUGCUCUAAUGCCUCAUGUGGGUGAUGGGAUAAGCCUGCUGAACGUGACUUUGUCUGGAGCUCCCUGUAAUUCCACGCCACCUCUUUCAGAGGCUGAGAUGAAGAAGGAGUACAUGGGCUGUCAGAAUCUGCCAACAGCACUGUGGCACCAGGGCAGUCGAAAGGCUCACAACAAUGAGAGAAACUGAGAGACAAUGUUCAUUCUUCCAGUGCGGCCUCAUAAACUUCACUACCGGCAUCUAAUCUCAACUAGAGAAUGCUAGAGAUGCCAAACAUGUCUUUUUGCUCAUCUUAGUUCUUUACUAUGGAUUUUGAUCUUCGGUUGUAACAAUAGAUUCAGGCAGAAUGCUGCUAGACAAGAAUAAAAAAUGUGUGUAUAAAUUGUUGUUGCUCAAGUAGAGGUCAAACUGUCAUUAGAUGGACCCAGUCUAUCCAAAACAAAUGGACUGCGGUAAGAUGGAUGAAAAGAAACAUGCUGUCAUGAAGGCCACAGGAGUAUAUAUGGUUUAAGAGGAAGUGUUAUGUCCUCACUCUGAACCUCAGCCUUCCAUCUGCAGCAUCCCGGUGUUUGGCUCCUCCAGUGUUUUUGUCUACCCACUGUGGGGGUUCAUCCGGCGGGCAGCUGCACUUUUGCAUCUCUCCACAUUCAGAGUGUCCUGGCGCGGGUCAGUGCUCACAUCACAUCCUGGAGAUGAACCAUGGUGACUAUGCCAGUCUGACAUUUCAGGACAAAUCUAUGUUGCCCUUGCAGACAUGAAGGAGCCUAGGCAAUGCCAUCAUUUAGUCAUGAGAACUGUUCCUUCGACAAGCUCUGCCCCUUCCAAGGCCACUUUCCCGCUCUAUUUAAAAGGAGUUCUGGUUUUUCAAGCAGUUUGACCUGUAUCGGCUUUGGCCUGUAGGUGACAGAACACAAACUAGAGGAAGACAUGUAGCUGUCUCACAGGUCUCUGCUGAAAUUUAUGUACAAACUUUCAAAGAUUAAACAAGGUCAAUAUAAGUCAGGAAUAAAAAGAAAAUUAGACAUUUUUAAAAAAGCCCCAGACAAGGCCUGGCAUUAUAGUUCUGAUUAAGCUUGUUUGUGUAUACGGUAUUUAAUAUAAAGGUGUUGUAAGAUCCAAUACCUCAGUUAUCAGUUAUCCCAUACCUUCAUACCUCUUUCCUGUGUACAAACACCCCUUAAACAAUGUUCAGUGCAUGUUGGCUAAAAAAUAGUUUAACAGCGUAUACCCAAGUGUAAAACUCAGCUGAGUCAAGAAAUAUUUUUUUGUAUAGAACAGAAAUGUGUUUAUUCUGUAAAUGUCAUGUUGUGCUAAAUAAAUGAAUUUUAAUGUCACUUAAGAGGAUAUUAAUGUCCUCAUCUCAGUUGUUAAACUGUAGCUUGUGUGACCUUAUGUAAAUACUCAAAAUAAAUUAACUUUUGUACAUAACAUGUAUUU